This 1125-nucleotide long non-coding RNA is filed under the name Homo sapiens (human). RNAcentral describes it as "long non-coding RNA NONHSAT177961.1". The record is from RNAcentral. Lineage: Eukaryota; Metazoa; Chordata; Mammalia; Primates; Hominidae.
AGAAUACCAUACAUGAAAAGAACAGUGUGAUUUCAAAGAUUUAUCAAGACUUUUGUUCUGAGAAUACUCAAAUGAUUUUUUCUGGUCAAGUAAAUACUUUAUGACAUAGUUAAAAAUAACUUUUGGAAAAUACUAAUAUAGGGUUUGAAAUGCAAAUUACACUCAAGGCCAUAAUCUAUGGGGCUUGGUUCUACAAGAGUUAUUUCACAGGAGUUUUUAUUUCCAUCUAUCAGGUGCUAUUCCCUAUAUAGUUUCCAUAUUGCAGUCGUUUCUUUACAGCUAUGACAGAACACAAUGUCAAACUCAACUGAUGAUCUCAAAGUCCCCAUGGACCACAGCCAUGUAUGGACAGGAAAGACAUACAUUUUUGUGUCACGGGGGCUCUUUAUUUCGCCCUCCCACCCCCGCCCAACUUGGCAGCCCAGGAUGAGGAUGGAAAUUUGAAAUGAACAUGAGAAUAGAAUUCCAGCUCGGUGACACAGAAAAAUAAGGAUGAAGGGAAAUGAUGAGCUCCGUUUUAAUGUAUUAUUUAGAAACCUCUCACUGCUGACAUGAAGCUGUUCUGAGUACCGACAAGGUGUGACAACAGGAAGUGCAACGAUGGGCAGGUGGGGGAUAAUUGUGUUAAAUAGGCUUUUUUUUUUUUCUCUCGUAUGCCUUUGUGUACUUGCUCGGGGGUCAAAAAAGAAAAAAUAAAAAUAAAAAGAGCCCUCUCACCAGAAUGACUUAUAAUUAUUACACUGCUCCAGAUCAUCGUACCUUGUUGGCAGUCGGCUGUUAAUUAUUUGUCUGUCAGGAAUCAUUCGCUACAUGCUUACUGUUUCUUUCCCUUCUUUGUGUGAAUGGGAGUUAUAUUUUAUUUUAUGAACAAUGCUUUUCUGUACUAUAAGACAAGACACUGAAAACAAGGAUGUCUGUUUAUACAGCAGGCACAUCUGGCUUUCACUGCCAAGAUAACAAAGAACGUGGAGGGAUAUUUUAAAGCAAGAAGCCAUCUUUGCCUAUAUGAUAUUGAAAAGAUUGGGAUUCAUUCAUUUUGACUGUAAGGAUCCCAGGUAAUUCCGCAGUAUAAUUAGAGCAGUUUCGUGAAAGAGUCUAUUGUGCCGAUGAAGCCAUAUCAUUUAU